Molecule: non-coding RNA, 119 nt
Organism: Lupinus angustifolius (narrow-leaved blue lupine)
Lineage: Eukaryota; Viridiplantae; Streptophyta; Magnoliopsida; Fabales; Fabaceae
Source: Rfam
AGGUGCUAUCAUACCAUCACUAAUGCACCAUAUCCUUUUAUAACUCUGCAAUUAAUCGUGCUUAGGCGUGAGUAGCACUAGGAUGGGUGACCUCCUUGGAAGUCCUCGUGUUGCACCUC